UUCGUAGGCGGUGCGGCAAGUCGGGAGUGAAAUCUCUGGGCUUAACUCAGAGGCUGCUUCCGAAACUGCCGUGCUCGAGUGUGGGAGAGGCGCGUGGAAUUGCAGGUGUAGCGGUGAAAUGCGUAGAUAUCUGCAGGAACACCCGUGGCGAAAGCGGCGCGCUGGACCACAACUGACGCUGAGGAACGAAAGCUAGGGGAGCAAACAGGAUUAGAUACCCUGGUAGUCCUAGCCCUAAACGAUCAGGACUUGGGGUGGCUUCCGUUCGGAAGUCGUCCCGGAGCUAACGCGUUAAGUCCUGCACCUGGGGAGUACGGUCGCAAGACUGA
This 329-nucleotide ribosomal RNA is filed under the name uncultured bacterium. Its description in RNAcentral is "bacterial SSU rRNA". It matches the Rfam family "Bacterial small subunit ribosomal RNA", at positions 568 to 897 of the family's 1533-position model. The record is from RNAcentral.